This 500-nucleotide ribosomal RNA is filed under the name uncultured bacterium. Its description in RNAcentral is "bacterial SSU rRNA". It matches the Rfam family "Bacterial small subunit ribosomal RNA", at positions 28 to 521 of the family's 1533-position model. The record is from RNAcentral.
GAUGAACGCUAGCGGGAGGCUUAACACAUGCAAGUCGAGGGGCAUCACGAGGUAGCAAUACUUUGGUGGCGACCGGCGCACGGGUGAGUAACACGUAUGCAACCUUCCCUGUACAGGGGGAUAACCCGGAGAAAUUCGGACUAAUACCCCAUGAUGAUAUUUAUGGGCAUCCAUUAAUAUUUAAAGCUCUGGCGGUACAGGAUGGGCAUGCGCGACAUUAGCUAGUUGGUAAGGUAACGGCUUACCAAGGCCACGAUGUUUAGGGGACCUGAGAGGGUUGUCCCCCACACUGGUACUGAGACACGGACCAGACUCCUACGGGAGGCAGCAGUGAGGAAUAUUGGUCAAUGGGCGCAAGCCUGAACCAGCCAUCCCGCGUGAAGGAAGAAUGCGCUACGCGUUGUAAACUUCUUUUCCAGGGGGAGAAUAAUCCUGUCGUGACAGGACUUGACGGUACUCUGGGAAUAAGCAUCGGCUAACUCCGUGCCAGCAGCCGCGGU